GGGUGAUUAGCUCAGCUGGUUAGAGCGCCAGUCUCACAUACUGGAGGCCAGUGGUUCGAAUCCACUAUCACCCACCA
RNAcentral lists this transfer RNA (77 nucleotides) under bacterium. RNAcentral's name for it is "tRNA-Val". It matches the Rfam family "tRNA". From Rfam's summary of the family: Transfer RNA (tRNA) molecules are approximately 80 nucleotides in length. Their secondary structure includes four short double-helical elements and three loops (D, anti-codon, and T loops). The record is from RNAcentral.